This 475-nucleotide ribosomal RNA is filed under the name uncultured bacterium. RNAcentral's name for it is "bacterial SSU rRNA". It matches the Rfam family "Bacterial small subunit ribosomal RNA", at positions 30 to 506 of the family's 1533-position model. The record is from RNAcentral.
UUGAACGCUGGCGGCAUGCUUUACACAUGCAAGUCGAACGGUAACAGGUUAAGCUGACGAGUGGCGAACGGGUGAGUAAUGCAUCGGAACGUGCCCGAUCGUGGGGGAUAACGCAGCGAAAGCUGCGCUAAUACCGCAUACGAUCUGAGGAUGAAAGCGGGGGAUCGCAAGACCUCGCGCGAUUGGAGCGGCCGAUAUCAGAUUAGGUAGUUGGUGGGGUAAAGGCCCACCAAGCCGACGAUCUGUAGCUGGUCUGAGGGUACGACCAGCCACACUGGAACUGAGACACGGUCCAGACUCCUACGGGAGGCAGCAGUGGGGAAUUUUGGACAAUGGGCGCAAGCCUGAUCCAGCAAUGCCGCGUGCAGGAUGAAGGCCUUCGGGUUGUAAACUGCUUUUGUACGGAACGAAACGGUCUGCUCUAAUACAGUGGGCUAAUGACGGUACCGUAAGAAUAAGCACCGGCUAACUACGU